RNAcentral lists this ribosomal RNA (429 nucleotides) under Chloroflexota bacterium. RNAcentral's name for it is "Chloroflexi bacterium partial 16S ribosomal RNA". It matches the Rfam family "Bacterial small subunit ribosomal RNA", at positions 355 to 776 of the family's 1533-position model. Lineage: Bacteria; Bacillati; Chloroflexota. The record is from RNAcentral.
UGGGGAAUAUUGCACAAUGGGCGCAAGCCUGAUGCAGCCAUGCCGCGUGUAUGAAGAAGGCCUUCGGGUUGUAAAGUACUUUCAGUCGGGAGGAAGGUGUCAAGGUUAAUAACCUUGGCAAUUGACGUGACCGACAGAAGAAGCACCGGCUAACUCCGUGCCAGCAGCCGCGGUAAUACGGAGGGUGCAAGCGUUAAUCGGAAUUACUGGGCGUAAAGCGCACGCAGGCGGUUGAUUGAGUCAGAUGUGAAAUCCCCGGGCUUAACCCGGGAAUUGCAUCUGAUACUGGUCAGCUAGAGUCUUGUAGAGGGGGGUAGAAUUCCAUGUGUAGCGGUGAAAUGCGUAGAGAUGUGGAGGAAUACCGGUGGCGAAGGCGGCCCCCUGGACAAAGACUGACGCUCAGGUGCGAAAGCGUGGGGAGCAAACAGG